UUCCCUCGAACGCACGACCAUAACGCCGCCGGCUCUCUCCUUGCAACCGCCCACUAUACUAGAACCGCCGAUCUCAUCUGACCCGCCACCGCUUGCGCCUUCACGACUCUCCUCCCUGCCGGAUCUAGCCUCUCCGGUGUUUGUCCUCUUCAUCCGGCCAACCCCUCACCGUCGUUGUCUCGCCGCUCGUUUACCUUGCGCCGCGGGACUGCCGGAGACGAAGACGAGCACCGUGGGGAAGUCGGUCGCCACCUAUUCCUUCACUGCCUCCGUCGUUCUAAUCCACCUCCAUCCGUUCUCCUAGAUCAUGCGGCAGCGGUACAGGUUCACGGCGGUGGGCCACCACCGAUGCGGGAUGACGUCAAGUUCGAGCUCCCUCCACAUCGCCUCCUCAAUGGUCUCCGGCCAGCAGCCCCGCUCGUGGCACGUCCGUUCAGCUCAGGUAUCUCCACCUGGCCGAUGCCUCCUCGUAGUCGCUUCGCCUACCUCCCUUCUGGCAGCACCGCCGGCAUGGUAAGUCCACCUUAAGGCUGCUGUAUCGCUCAACCCUCUACCCCGUCGCCCCCUUCUCUGAUUGCUUGUUAACAAUUUAACUAAUUCACCAAUUGAAUUGUUAACUGCUGCACACUGAGAUGCAAUUUCCUCGUCCAUACCUAACUUCAUAUUGUCGUAGCUUUAUGAAUCUGCUUAAUUGCAAACCAAUUACUACUAAUAAUCAUCCCCUGCGGCACUACUAUCCUCUACUCAAGUGGCAACUAAUUAGUGGCAAUCAUACUUGCAGUUCACUUCAACAAUGUUACGUCAUCCAAUCUGCUCUGUUUUCCUUCGCAGGGUACAGGAGGUGUGAGAUCCAUAAUGCUAGCUUCAGCAAAGUCAUCCAAAUCUGGCCAAAGGAACUCAUGAGGAUAUUUUACAAAUUACUAUCGGUGUUCCACCCUAGUGAGAUGACUGAAUUCGUGUACACCCAGGAUACUUACCAGGGGCCCAAGCUGUGGUUUUUGAGGCUGAGAGAUGCUUGCUUUUGAACAGACGGAUCUUCAAAAAUUGGAGCCCUAUUUGACAAGAAAAUCCCUGAUUGUAAUGAUCUUGGUGGUUUGUGUGAGGAAGAUCGUGGCUUCUGUUCUGAGCCCUAUUCUUAUGAUGGGAUGAUAUGCAGCUCAUCUUUCAAGAAGUUGGGAUGGACAAAUGAAGACCAAAACAACCCACCUUCAAGACGCCAGGAGAAAAGGCCUCCAACAAAUGCAAUUUGAGGAGAGCUAUACGAUUAUGUUUAAGAGUCAAGACGACCGUCAUCUGUUAAACUAUUUCUUAGUUCUGGUGAUGCUACACGUUGUAUCAGGUUGAUAUAUAGCUUGUGUUAUUUUGGCUUAUGGGAAUGUGAAAAAUGAACCGUGAUGUGGAAUUGGCAUUGAUGUUAUA
Triticum aestivum (bread wheat) is the source of this 1419-nucleotide RNA transcript. RefSeq lists it as uncharacterized. The transcript is spliced from 3 exons. The record is from RefSeq and is a predicted model, not a curated record. Lineage: Eukaryota; Viridiplantae; Streptophyta; Magnoliopsida; Poales; Poaceae.